Molecule: long non-coding RNA, 460 nt
Organism: Mauremys reevesii (Reeves's turtle)
Lineage: Eukaryota; Metazoa; Chordata; Testudines; Geoemydidae
Exons: 4
Source: RefSeq, a predicted model, not a curated record
CAGGCGGAGACAAUAAAGGCAUAUUUACAUAAAAGGUGAACAAAGCCAUCAGCCUAGCAAGUGGGGGAGCAAGCCUCUUCCGGGUGUCUGAACCUCAAAUGUGCUGCACUUGAAGGGAAGAGUGCAUUGACCCCAGGGUAAAAGAUGAGUUUGCUGUAUCUGGACUGAAGCAGAACUGCGACUGUUGCAGAGUCUCCUGAAAAGAUCAUCUGCAUGACUUGAGUUUAGAGGAUCCUGGAGCACGUGGUGAGCUGGAAUGUUGCAUGUCCAGAAAGACUCACUCCAGUCAAAUGUUAUUCAGAACCAUUAUGAAACCAGAGUGCCAUUAGCAGGACUGAAAAGAUGCCAUGUGAGACUGCUCCAGAUGGAUAUGCCGAACUGGGAGCUUUGCAUUUACCUUUAAACCAAAGGAACCCUUCCAUUUCACAAUGACUUUGGGAAAGUUCUGUGCAGCAAGGAG